Molecule: ribosomal RNA, 1737 nt
Filed under: Hydractinia symbiolongicarpus
Lineage: Eukaryota; Metazoa; Cnidaria; Hydrozoa; Anthoathecata; Hydractiniidae
Description: 16S ribosomal RNA
Rfam family: Bacterial large subunit ribosomal RNA (bases 209-1655)
Source: RNAcentral
UUAAAAACAAAAGAGAUUAAAGAAUAGAAAUUAUAGAAAAAUUAAAUCUUAAUCUAAAUUCUAAGAAAAAAUUCAUUAAGAAAAAGAACUGAAACAUCUUAGUAAAAAAAUGAAAAAUAUAUUUGAUAGUAUUGGCAAAAGAAAUCAAACGAUAUAAAAAUAAAAAUUGAUUUACACAAUAAAAAUCUUUAUUCUACUUUUAAUUAUAGUACUGUGAAGGAAAAAGAACAAUAAUCACUUACAAAAAUGACAAACAUUUACCUUUUGUAUAAUGGAUUUACAAGAAAAAAAACUAGCAAGCUUUUAGGCAAAGAAAAGUAAAAGAGUUAGUCAUACCCGAAACCAAACGAUCUAAUUGUGAAUAUUUUCAUGAAAGAAUUAAUAAAUGUAGAAAAAUUUUUAAAAAAUUUGCAAUUAGCAGCGAAAAACUAAUCGAGUUUGGAUAUAGCUGGUUCUCUACGAAAAUUAUUUAAGUAAUACUUUUAUUUCUAAAAUGACAAACAUAUAGCUAUAAUGUUAUAUGUUAAAAAGGAAAAAACCUUAAUUAGAAGAUAAAACGCCCAAUUUAAAACACUACUGUUUGGAAACUAUUAUAACAACAUAUAAAUAGGCUUAGAAACAGCCAAAUUUAAAAGAUAACGUAACAGUUCAUUUGAUAAAAGGUUAACCAAAAAAAUAAAGCGUAUUUAAAGUUUAUUCUCUAAUAAAAAUAAGUAGUAGAGUAUUUUAUUAUUAAAAAUGAAAAUAAAUAAAAGAAAUAAUGUAAAUAUAAGUAAAAAUUAUUAUUCCUAAUAAUUCUUAUUUUAAUAAAUGAAUAAGGUUAAACAAUCCCUCAACAAAAAAGGGGAAAUUUUGAAAAAAAACAAGAAAAAUCAAGAACUUAAAUUGUAUUUAACUAAAUCAAGAAGGAAUAAAUAAAUAAUAAAACUUUUUUUAAGGAACUCGGCAAAUUAAGAAUCGACUGUUUACCAAAAACAUAGCCCUUGUAAAAAUCAAAGGUGUAACCUGCCCAAUGAUCUUAAACUUAAAAAAUAUGACCAUUUUUAAAUAGAUUUAAAGGACGCAGUAUCCUGACUGUGAUAAUGUAGCAUAAUCAUUCGCCAUUUAAUUGAUGGAUAGUAUGAAUGGUUGAACGAAUUCUUCACUGUCUUAAGAAAAGAAAUAAUGAAAUUUAAAUAAUAGUAAAGAUGCUAUUUAAAAUUGUAAGACGAAAAGACCCUAUAGAGCUUAACUAUAAGUUCUUUUUACCCURAAGAAUAUAAUUCUAUAAAUAAAGAACUUGGUAGUUUAGUUGGGGCGACUAUCUUCUAAUAUUAACGAAGACAAGCAAAAUUAAUAUAUAUAAUUUAUUGUAUAACCUAUAAGUUUAACAAUUACUAAAGUAGGCAUAAUGACCCGUUUUCAUUUAGUAAUUAAAGAAAACGAUCAAUAAAUAAAAGCUACCUUAGGGAUAACAGGAUAAUUUUGUUUUAGAGAUCACAUCGAAAACAAAGUUUGUCACCUCUAUGUUGAAUUAAGAUAUCCUAGUAAUGCAGAAGUUACUAAAGGUAGGUCUGUUCGACCUUUAAAAUCUUACAUGAUUUGAGUUCAUUCCGUCGCAAGACAGGAAGGUUUCUAUCUACAAUUAAUAAAAACAAAAGRGACCUUUAGUACGAAAGGACCAAGGUUACUCAAAACAAAUUUAAAAUGUUUAAGAAAAAAAAAAUGAAAGCUUCUAACAUUAGAAUGAAUUUUUAA